RNAcentral lists this long non-coding RNA (8435 nucleotides) under Salmo salar (Atlantic salmon). Its description in RNAcentral is "lncRNA (ENSSSAG00000098094.1)". Lineage: Eukaryota; Metazoa; Chordata; Actinopteri; Salmoniformes; Salmonidae. The record is from RNAcentral.
GUAGAUUGAUGAGUGGGGAAAAAACAAUUUAAUCAAAUUUAGAAUAAGGCUGUAACAACAAAAUGUGGAAAGGUCUGAACACUUUCCUGAAUGAUCUGUAAAUGAAUGCUCUAAAAAAAACAUGAGUCAAGCUCAUUCCACGGAAGGCCGAGUAUCUGCGGGUUUUCACUCCUCCCUUGGACUUGAUUGAUUAAGGUCACUGAUUAGCAAGGAACUUCCCUCACCUGGUUGUCUAGGUCUUAAUUGAAAGGCAAAACCAAAAUCCGACAGAUACUAGGCCCUCCAUGGAAUGAGUUUGACGCCCCUGCUCUAAACUAAACCAUAUUCAAACUCCUCCCACUCCUCUCCUACCUGGAGGGGAGCCCUCCCCUCAUUGGUCACCACACACCUCCAUUAAAGCUUGUUAAGAACAAUAAAGUCCACCUGAAAGGGGUGGAGCUCCCCAUUUAAAUGCCCCCACAUGCAGUCAUUAGCCGUCUUUCAACCGAACUAGCAUGUAACUGCAGAGAUGCGUUAUUGGCUGCGAGGGAAGGGUAAUUGGCUGCGAGGGAUGGGUAAUUGGCUGCGAGGGAUGGGUUAUUGGCUGCGAGGGAUGGGUUAUUGGCUGCGAGGGAUGGGUUAUUGGCUGCGAGGGAUGGGUUAUUGGCUGCGAGGGAUGGGUUAUUGGCUGCGAGGGAUGGGUUAUUGGCUGCGAGGGAAGGGUUAUUGGCUGCGAGGGAAGGGUUAUUGGCUGCGAGGGAAGGGUAAUUGGCUGCGAGGGAUGGGUUAUUGGCUGCGAGGGAAGGGUUAUUGGCUGCGAGGGAUGGGGUUAUUGGCUGCGAAGGAAGGGUUAUUGGCUGCGAGGGAAGGGUUAUUGGCUGCGAGGGAAGGGUUAUUGGCUGCGAGGGAUGGGUUAUUGGCUGCGAGGGAAGGGUUAUUGGCUGCGAGGGAAGGGUUAUUGGCUGCGAGGGAAGGGUUAUUGGCUGCGAGGGAAGGGUUAUUGACUGCGAGGGAAGGGUUAUUGGCUGCGAGGGAAGGGUUAUUGGCUGCGAGGGAAGGGUUAUUGGCUGCGAGGGAUGGGGUUAUUGGCUGCGAGGGAUGGGGUUAUUGGCUGCGAGGGAUGGGGUUAUUGGCUGCGAGGGAUGGGGUUAUUGGCUGCGAGGGAUGGGUAAAUUGACUGCGAGGGAUGGGUUAUUGACUGCGAGGGAUGGGUAAAUUGACUGCGAGGGAUGGGUAAAUUGACUGCGAGGGAUGGGUAAAUUGACUGCGAGGGAUGAGUAAAUUGACUGCGAGGGAUGAGUAAAUUGACUGCGAGGGAUGGGUAAAUUGACUGCGAGGGAUGGGUAAAUUGGCUGCGAGGGAUGGGUAAAUUGACUGCGAGGGAUGGGUAAAUUGACUGCGAGGGAUGGGUAAAUUGACUGCGAGGGAUGGGUUAUUGGCUGCGAGGGAUGGGUAAAUUGACUGCGAGGGAUGGGUUAUUGACUGCGAGGGAUGGGUUAUUGACUGCGAGGGAUGGGUUAUUGACUGCGAGGGAUGGGUUAUUGGCUGCGAGGGAUGGGUUAUUGGCUGCGAGGGAUGGGUAAAUUGACUGCGAGGGAUGGGUUAUUGACUGCGAGGGAUGGGUUAUUGACUGCGAGGGAUGGGUAAAUUGACUGCGAGGGAUGGGUUAUUGACUGCGAGGGAUGGGUAAAUUGACUGCGAGGGAUGGGUUAUUGACUGCGAGGGAUGGGUUGAGAUGGCGGAAAGCGUGUUGAGUACAGUUAGUGAGAAUAAUGGGUAGACAACAGUGAACAAAAAGGGCAAAAAUUGUUGUGGAAAAUGAGUCUGAUAAAUUGUUGCUUGUUGGAGUAUGUUUUUUGAAUAAGGAUGUUCAUUUGGGAAACAAGGAUGGUGAAGAAGGCGUUGGGAUAAGUGGCUGUAGUCAUAGUAACCAGGAGUGGUAUGGUAUUGAUAUCGUGUCGUCAUAAUAACCAUGUAUUGAUAUUGUGUAGUCAUAGUAGCCAGGUAUUGAUAUCGUGUAGUCAUAGUAACCAGCAGUGGUAUGGUAUUGAUAUCGUGUAGUCAUAGUAACCAGCAGUGGUAUGGUAUUGAUAUCGUGUAGUCAUAGUAACCAGCAGUGGUAUGGUAUUGAUAUCGUGUAGUCAUAGUAACCAUGUAUUGAUAUUGUGUAGUCACAGUAACCAUGUAUUGAUAUCGUGUCGUUAUAGUAGCCAGGAGUGGUAUGGUAUUGAUAUCGUGUAGUCAUAGUAACCAGGUAUUGAUAUUGUGUAGUCAUAGUAACCAGGAGUGGUAUGGUGUUGAUAUCAUGUAGUCAUAGUAACCAGGUAUUGAUAUGGUGUUGCUAUCGUGUGUAUCUAAAGAGCAAUAGGAGUGUGCAUUGUGGCUCACAAAAUUAUUGACGCAUGAAGUGGACAGUUUUUUUGAUUUUCGAAACAGGGCACUGGUAAAAGGUUUUAUCUUUGGCGUCCCGUUGGACAUUGAUAAUAAAUAGCUUAGGCUAAACAUUCCAGCAGUAGUUAAAGCAAUGAGAAGUUUCUGUAUUAUUGAUGUUUGAUGAAAUGCAUCUACCAACCUAUGUAAAGCUGAGAUUUGUCUGGCUGGUGUGUUUACGGACAUAUUCAAUCUCUCCCUAUCCCAGUCUGCUGUCCCCACAUGCUUCAAGAUGGCCACCAUUUUUCCUGUACCCAAGAAGGCAAAGGUUACUGAACUUAAUGACUAUCCCCCAGUAGCGAUCUCCUGUUAUCAUGAAGUGCUUUGAGAGACUAGUCAAGGACCCUAUCACCUCUACCUUACCUGCCACUUCGAUUUGCUUACCGCCCCAAUAGAUCCACAGACGAUGCAAUCGCCAUCACUCUGCACACUGCCCUAGCCCUAUAUCUGGACAAGAGGAUUACCUAUGUAAGAAUGCUGUUCAUUGACUACAGCUCAGCAUUCAACACCAUAAUACCCUCCAAGCUCAUCAUUAAGCUUGAGGCCCUGGGUCUGAAACCCGCCCUGUGCAACUGGAUCGUGGACUUCCUGAUGGGCAGCCCCCAGGUGGCGAAGGUAGGAAACGUCACCUCCGCUGAUCCACAACACUGGGACCCCACAAGGGUGGGUGCUCAGCCCCCUCCUGUACUCCCUGUUCACCCAUGAAUGCGUGGCCAAGCACGCCUCCAACUCAAUCAUCAAGUUUGCAGACGACAACAGCAGUAGGCUUGAUUACUAACGAUGACAAGACAGCUUACAGGGAGGAGGUGAGGGCUCAGAGCCUCUUCAAACUCAGGAGGCUAAAGAAAUGUGGCUUGUCACCUAAAACCCUCACACAUUUUUACAGAUGCACAAUUGAAAGCAUCCUGUCGGGCUGUAUCACCACCUGGUACAGCAACUACACUGCCCGCAACAGCUAGGCUCUCCAGAGGGUGAUGCAUUACCGGGGGGCAAACUUCCGCCCUCCAGGACCCCUACAGCACCCGAUGUCACAGGAAGGCCAAAAAGAUCAUCAUGGACAUCAACAACCCAAGCCACUGCCUGUACAUCCCGCUAUCAUCCAGGCGAGGUCAGAACAGGUGCAUCAAAGCGGGGACUGAGAGACUGAAAAACAGUCUCUAUCUCAAGGCCAUCAGACUGUUAAACAGCCAUCACUAGGACAUUAGAGGCUGCUGCCUAUAGGCAUAGACUAGAAAUCACUGGCCAUUUUAAGAAAUGGAACACUAGUCACUUUAAUAAUGUUUACAUAUCUGGCAUUACUCAUCUCACAUGUAUAUACUGUUUUUCUAUACUAUUCUACAGUAUCUCAUUCACUUAAAAAUGCUUCCAUAUCUUGCAUUACUCAUCUCAUAUGUAUAUACUGUUUUUCUACACUAUUCUACUGUAUCUUAGACUGUUCUGCUCUGACAUCGCUCGUCCAUAUGUACAGUUGAAGUCAGAAGUUUACAUACACUUAGGUUGGAGUCAUUAAAACUCAAUUUUUCAACCACUUAACAAACUAUAGUUUUGGCAAGUAGGUUAGGACAUCUACUUUGUGCAUGACAAUUGUUUACAGACAGAUUAUUUCACUUAUAAUUCACUGUAUCACAAUUCUAGUGGGUCAGAAGUUUACAUAUACACUAAGUUGACUGUGCCUUUAAACUGCUUGGAAAAUUCCAGAAAAUGUCAUGGCUCUAGAAGCUUCUGAUAGGCUAAUUGACAUAAUUUGAGUCAAUUGGAGGUGUACCUGUGGAUGUAUUUCAAGGCCUACCUUCAAACCCAGUGCCUCUUUGCUUGACAUCAUAGGAAAAUCAAAAGAAAUGGUAGACCACCAUAAGUCUGGUUCAUCCUUGGGAGCAAUUUCCAAACGCCUGAAGGUACCACGUUCAUCUGUACAAACAAUAGUAUGCAAGUAUAAACACCAUGGGACCACGCAGCCGUCAUAUCGCUUAGAAAGGAGACGUGUUCUGUCCCCUAGAGAUGAACGUACUUUGGUGCAUAUCAAUCCCAGAACAACAGCAAAGGACCUUGUGAAGAUGCUGGAGGAAACGGGUGCAAAAGUAUCUAUAUCCACAGUAAAAUGAGUCCUAUAUCGACAUAACCUGAAAGGCCGCUCAGCAAAGAAGAAGCCACUGCUACAAAACCGCCAUAAAAAAGCCAGACUACGGUUUGCAACUGCACAUGGGGGCAAAGAUUGUACUUUUUGGAGAAAUGUCCUCUGGUCUGAUGAAACAAAAAUAGAACUGUUUGGCCAUAAUGACCCUCAUUAUGUUUGGAGGAAAAAGGGCGAGGCUUGCAAGCCGAAGUACACCAUCCCAACUAUGAAGCACGGAGGUGGCAGCAUCAUGUUGUGGGGGUGCUUUGCUGCACUUCACAAAAUCGAUGGCAUCAUGUGGAAGGAAAAGUAUGUGGAUAUAUUGAAGCAACAUCUCAAGACAUCAGUCAGGAAGUUAAAGCUUGGGUCUUCCAAAUGGACAAUUUUUUUUAACCUUUAUUUAACUAGGCAAGUCAGUUAAGAACAAAUUCUUAUUUUCAAUGAUGGCCUAGGAACAGUGGGUUAACUGCCUUGUUCAGGGGCAGAACAACAGAUGUUUUACCUUGUCAGCUCAGGGAUUCAAUCUUACAACCUUUUGGUUACUAGUCCAACGCUCUAACCAUUAGGCUACCUGCCGCCCAUACUUUCAGCGCUCUAACCACUAGGCUACCUGCCGCCCAUACGAGCGUACUUCCAAAGUUGUGGAAAAAUGGCUUAAGGACAACAAAGUCAAUGUAUUGGAGUGGCCAUCACAAAGCCUUGACCUCAAUCCCAUAGAACAUUUGUGGGCAGAACUGAAAAAGCACAUGCGAGCAAGGAGGCCUACAAACCUAACUCAGUUACACCAGCUCUGUCAGGAGAAAUGGGCCAAAAUUCACCCACUUAUUGUGGGAAGCUUGUGGAAGGCUACCUGAAACAUUUGAACACAGAGUUGGAAUGAAACAGUUGCACACAGUUCCCUUUGAAAGGAACAGUGAGCGGGUCAAGGAACUCCGCCACCAAUACGUCCACGUAUGAUGUCUAUCCAAUAUGUCUAGUUCUAUAUAGUGAGUUUUACACUAUGGGGUCAGGGAACUCUGGCACGAAUACAUCCAGGUAUGGUGUCUAUCCAAUAUGUCUAGUUCUAUAUAGUGAGUUUUACACUAUGGGGUCAGGGAACUCUGGCACCAAUACAUCCAGGUAUGGUGUCUAUCCAAUAUGUCUAGUUCUAUAUAGUGAGUUUUACACUAUGGGGUCAGGGAACUCUGGCACCAAUACAUCCAGGUAUGGUGUCUAUCCAAUAUGUCUAGUUCUAUAUAGUGAGUUUUACACUAUGGGGUCAGGGAACUCUGGCACCAAUACAUCCAGGUAUGGUGUCUAUCCAAUAUGUCUAGUUCUAUAUAGUGAGUUUUACACUAUGGGGUCAGGGAACUCUGGCACCAAUACAUCCAGGUAUGGUGUCUAUCCAAUAUGUCUAGUUCUAUAUAGUGAGUUUUACACUAUGCUACUCUACAUGUUAACAUGGGUUACAGUAGGACACUAUGCUACUCUACAUGUUAACAUGGGUUACAGUACAUACAGUAGGACACUAUGCUACUCUACAUGUUAACAUGGGUUACAGUACAUACAGUAGGACACUAUGCUACUCUACAUGUUAACAUGGGUUACAGUACAUACAGUAGGACACUAUGCUACUCUACAUGUUAACAUGGGUUACAGUAGGACACUAUGCUACUCUACAUGUUAACAUAGGUUACAGUACAUACAGUUGGAACACUAUGCUACUCUACAUGUUAACAUGGGUUACAGUAGGACACUAUGCUACUCUACAUGUAAACAUGGGUUACAGUACAUUCAGUAGGACACUAUGCUACUCUACAUGUUAACAUGGGUUACAGUACAUACAUUAGGACACUAUGCUACUCUACAUGUUAACAUGGGUUACAGUACAUACAGUAGGACACUAUGCUACUCUACAUGUUAACAUGGGUUACAGUAGGACACUAUGCUACUCUACAUGUAAACAUGGGUUACAGUAGGACACUAUGCUACUCAACAUGUUAACAUGGGUUACAGUACAUACAUUAGGACACUAUGCUACUCUACAUGUUAACAUGGGUUACAGUACAUACAGUAGGACACUAUGCUACUCUACAUGUUAACAUGGGUUACAGUACAUACAGUAGGACACUAUGCUACUCUACAUGUUAACAUGGGUUACAGUACAUACAGUAGGACACUAUUCUACUCUACAUGUAAACAUGGGUUACAGUACAUACAGUAGGACCCUAUGCUACUCUACAUGUUAACAUGGGUUACAGUAGGACACUAUGCUACUCUACAUGUUAACAUGGGUUACAGUAGGACACUAUGCUACUCUACAUGUUAACAUGGGUUACAGUAGGACACUAUGCUACUCUACAUGUUAACAUGGGUUACAGUAGGACACUAUGCUACUCUACAUGUUAACAUGGGUUACAGUAGGACACUAUGCUACUCUACAUGUUAACAUGGGUUACAGUAGAACACUAUGCUACUCUACAUGUUAACAUGGGUUACAGUAGGACACUAUGCUACUCUACAUGUUAACAUGGGUUACAGUAGGACACUAUGCUACUCUACAUGUUAACAUGGGUUACAGUAGGACACUAUGCUACUCUACAUGUUAACAUGGGUUACUGUAGGACACUAUGCUACUCUACAUGUUAACAUGGGUUACUGUAGGACACUAUGCUACUCUACAUGUUAACAUGGGUUACAGUAGGACACUAUGCUACUCUACAUGUUAACAUGGGUUACAGUAGGACACUAUGCUACUCUACAUGUUAACAUGGGUUACAGUAGGACACUAUGCUACUCUACAUGUUAACAUGGGUUACAGUAGGACACUAUGCUACUCUACAUGUUAACAUGGGUUACAGUAGGACACUAUGCUACUCUACAUGUUAACAUGGGUUACAGUACAUACGGUAGGACACUAUGCUACUCUACAUGUUAACAUGGGUUACAGUACAUACGGUAGGACACUAUGCUACUCUACAUGUUAACAUGGGUUACAGUAGGACACUAUGCUACUCUACAUGUUAACAUGGGUUACAGUAGGACACUAUGCUACUCUACAUGUUAACAUGGGUUACAGUAGGACACUAUGCUACUCUACAUGUUAACAUGGGUUACAGUAGGACACUAUGCUACUCUACAUGUUAACAUGGGUUACAGUACAUACAGUAGGACACUAUGCUACUCUACAUGUUAACAUGGGUUACAGUAGGACACUAUGCUACUCUACAUGUUAACAUGGGUUACAGUAGGACACUAUGCUACUCUACAUGUUAACAUGGGUUACAGUAGGACACUAUGCUACUCUACAUGUUAACAUGCGUUACAGUAGGACACUAUGCUACUCUACAUGUUAACAUGGGUUACAGUACAUACAGUAGGACACUAUGCUACUCUACAUGUUAACAUGGGUUACAGUACAUACAGUAGGACACUAUGCUACUCUACAUGUUAACAUGGGUUACAGUACAUACAGUAGGACACUAUGCUACUCUACAUGUUAACAUGGGUUACAGUACAUACAGUAGGACACUAUGCUACUCUACAUGUAAACAUGGGUUACAGUACAUACAGUAGGACACUAUGCUACUCUACAUGUUAACAUGGGUUACAGUACAUACAGUAGGACACUAUGCUACUCUACAUGUUAACAUGGGUUACAGUACAUACAGUAGGACACUAUGCUACUCUACAUGUAAACAUGGGUUAUAGUAGGACACUAUGCUACUCUACAUGUUAACAUGGGUUACAGUACAUACAGUAGGACACUAUGCUACUCUACAUGUUAACAUGGGUUACAGUACAUACAGUUGGACUUUCUCUUUCAGGGAGUCAUGGAGUUGGAGGUUAGUCAGACCCCACAUGAAAUCCUUUAUGUAGACGAGGCAGGGUUUAACCUGCCAAAAACACGUAGGCGGGAAAACGGUCAGCGUUG